GUGGGGAAUCUUCCGCAAUGGACGAAAGUCUGACGGAGCGACGCCGCGUGAGUGAAGAAGGCCUUCGGGUCGUAAAGCUCUGUCAUCAGGGACGAACGGCCGGUGGAGUGGAAAGCCACCGGAUUGACGGUACCUGAGAAGGAAGCCACGGCUAACUACGUGCCAGCAGCCGCGGUAAUACGUAGGUGGCAAGCGUUGUCCGGAAUUAUUGGGCGUAAAGCGCGCGCAGGUGGGAUCUUAAGUCCAUUUUGAAAGUUCGGAGCUCAACUCCGUGAUGGGAUGGAAACUGGGAUUCUUGAGUACCGGAGAGGAAAGCGGAAUUCCCCGUGUAGCGGUGAAAUGCGUAGAUAUGGGGAGGAACACCAGUGGCGAAGGCGGCUUUCUGGACGGUGUCUGACGCUGAGAUGCGAAAGCCAGGGUAGCGAACGGGAUUAGAAACCCCUGUAGUCC
RNAcentral lists this ribosomal RNA (450 nucleotides) under uncultured bacterium. Its description in RNAcentral is "partial 16S ribosomal RNA". It matches the Rfam family "Bacterial small subunit ribosomal RNA", at positions 354 to 796 of the family's 1533-position model. The record is from RNAcentral.